RNAcentral lists this ribosomal RNA (253 nucleotides) under uncultured bacterium. Its description in RNAcentral is "partial 16S ribosomal RNA". It matches the Rfam family "Bacterial small subunit ribosomal RNA", at positions 524 to 776 of the family's 1533-position model. The record is from RNAcentral.
UACGAAGGGGGCUAGCGUUGCUCGGAAUUACUGGGCGUAAAGGGUGCGUAGGCGGGUCUUUAAGUCAGGGGUGAAAUCCUGGAGCUCAACUCCAGAACUGCCUUUGAUACUGAAGAUCUUGAGUUCGGGAGAGGUGAGUGGAACUGCGAGUGUAGAGGUGAAAUUCGUAGAUAUCCGCAAGAACACCAGUGGCGAAGGCGGCUCACUGGCCCGAUACUGACGCUGAGGCACGAAAGCGUGGGGAGCAAACAGG